UACGGAGGGUGCAAGCAUUAAUCGGAUUUAUUGGGCGUAAAGGGCGCGUAGGCGGGGAUGUAAGUCAGAUGUGAAAUCCCGGGGCUCAACCUCGGAACUGCAUUUGAAACUAUAUCUCUUGAGGGUAGAAGGAGAAAACGGAAUUCCACAAGUAGCGGUGAAAUGCGUAGAUAUGUGGAAGAACACCGGUGGCGAAGGCGGUUUUCUAUUUUAUUCCUGACGCUGAUGCGCGAAAGCAAGGGGAUCAAACAGG
This 253-nucleotide ribosomal RNA is filed under the name uncultured bacterium. RNAcentral describes it as "partial 16S ribosomal RNA". It matches the Rfam family "Bacterial small subunit ribosomal RNA", at positions 524 to 776 of the family's 1533-position model. The record is from RNAcentral.